Molecule: non-coding RNA, 74 nt
Organism: Podarcis lilfordi (Lilford's wall lizard)
Lineage: Eukaryota; Metazoa; Chordata; Lepidosauria; Squamata; Lacertidae
Source: the annotation of a GenBank genome assembly
GUUCCUACCAACUCAGUCGAUAGAGCAUGGAACUCUUAAUUUCAGGGUCGUGGGUUCGAGUCCCACAUGGGGCA